RNAcentral lists this ribosomal RNA (434 nucleotides) under uncultured Lachnospiraceae bacterium. RNAcentral describes it as "partial 16S ribosomal RNA". It matches the Rfam family "Bacterial small subunit ribosomal RNA", at positions 341 to 792 of the family's 1533-position model. The record is from RNAcentral. Lineage: Bacteria; Bacillati; Bacillota; Clostridia; Lachnospirales; Lachnospiraceae.
ACGGAAGGCAGCAGUGGGGAAUAUUGCACAAUGGGGGAAACCCUGAUGCAGCGACGCCGCGUGAGUGAUGACGUAUUUCGGUAUGUAAAGCUCUAUCAGCAGGGAAGAUAAUGACGGUACCUGACUAAGAAGCCCCGGCUAACUACGUGCCAGCAGCCGCGGUAAUACGUAGGGGGCAAGCGUUAUCCGGAUUUACUGGGUGUAAAGGGAGUGCAGGCGGUUCUUUAAGUCUGAUGUGAAAACCCAAGGCUCAACCAUGGGAUUGCAUUGGAAACUGGGGGACUAGAGUAUCGGAGAGGUAAGCGGAAUUCCUAGUGUAGCGGUGAAAUGCGUAGAUAUUAGGAGGAACACCAGUGGCGAAGGCGGCUUACUGGACGAUUACUGACGCUGAGGCUCGAAAGCGUGGGGAGCAAACAGGAUUAGAUACCCUGGUA